GAUGAACGCUAGCGACAGGCCUAACACAUGCAAGUCGAGGGGCAGCGAAGAGGUAGCAAUACCUCUGUCGGCGACCGGCGCACGGGUGAGUAACACGUAUGCAAUCCACCUGUAACAGGGGGAUAACCCGGAGAAAUCCGGACUAAUACCCCAUAAUAUGGGCGCUCCGCAUGGAGGGCUCAUUAAAGAAAGCAAUUUUGGUUACAGACGAGCAUGCGCUCCAUUAGCCAGUUGGCGGGGUAACGGCCCACCAAAGCGACGAUGGAUAGGGGUUCUGAGAGGAAGGUCCCCCACAUUGGAACUGAGACACGGUCCAAACUCCUACGGGAGGCAGCAGUGAGGAAUAUUGGUCAAUGGACGAGAGUCUGAACCAGCCAAGUAGCGUGCAGGAAGACGGCCCUAUGGGUUGUAAACUGCUUUUAUAAGGGAAUAAAGUGAGUCUCGUGAGACUUUUUGCAUGUACCUUAUGAAUAAGGACCGGCUAAUUCCGUGCCAGCAGCCG
Molecule: ribosomal RNA, 502 nt
Filed under: uncultured bacterium
Lineage: Bacteria
Description: bacterial SSU rRNA
Rfam family: Bacterial small subunit ribosomal RNA
Source: RNAcentral